Molecule: non-coding RNA, 29 nt
Filed under: Homo sapiens (human)
Lineage: Eukaryota; Metazoa; Chordata; Mammalia; Primates; Hominidae
Source: RNAcentral
UCACUUCCUAGAUGGGAUGGUGGCCGGGA